RNAcentral lists this ribosomal RNA (367 nucleotides) under uncultured bacterium. Its description in RNAcentral is "bacterial SSU rRNA". It matches the Rfam family "Bacterial small subunit ribosomal RNA", at positions 552 to 916 of the family's 1533-position model. The record is from RNAcentral.
UAUUGGGCGUAAAGAGCGCGUAGGCGGCCUUUCAAGUCAGAUGUGAAAUGCCCGUGGCUUAACCAUGGAAGUGCAUUUGAUACUGGGAGGCUUGAGUAUGGGAGAGGGAAACGGAAUUCCUGGUGUAGCGGUGAAAUGCGUAGAUAUCAGGAGGAACACCGGUGGCGAAGGCGGUUUCCUGGACCAAUACUGACGCUGAGGCGCGAAGGCGUGGGGAGCAAACAGGAUUAGAUACCCUGGUAGUCCACGCAGUAAACGGUGAUCACUAGGUGUGGCGGGUAUUGACCCCUGCUGUGCCGAAGCAAACGCAUUAAGUGAUCCGCCUGGGGAGUACGAUCGCAAGAUUAAAACUCAAAGAAAUUGACGG